Long non-coding RNA from Onychostoma macrolepis, 1407 nucleotides. RefSeq lists it as uncharacterized. The record is from RefSeq and is a predicted model, not a curated record. Lineage: Eukaryota; Metazoa; Chordata; Actinopteri; Cypriniformes; Cyprinidae. The transcript has 8 exons.
UGAUCCUGGACGCGGGCAAGGAGUUGAUUUAUCUGUGAGAGACAGAAACGUGACAGCUAAGUGCUAACAGGAUACAGUGAUAAUGAACGCAACCUAAUUACCUCAGACCAAACUCCAGCUGUUCAACCCGAACUGGAUUUUGUUAAACUGUCAAUGACUCAAAAAUUAGGUCUGGCAGAAGCUCUGUAACGUCUCAAAACUGCAUCAACCACUGCCACAACUCAUUGGCUUUAUCCCUGCAACCAGAGACACAGAUGGUGGCGUUAAACAACCAUUAAGCUCCUCUCCACGUGAAGAGCAUUUCCUAUUUACUGCAUUUCACUAAAGGCCUAGGUGGUUUUUCUGGUUCAGGAGCUGGUUUGGGUUCAGCAGGCUUGGGCUCUGGAGUCUUGGUUUUCCAGCUGUUAAUGCGACCAGCCACACCGAUGUUCAGACCAGCUGUUUCCUGAGAGGACAGACUCGGGGUGGGAUUGACUACAUUCCCCUUCUCCCACAUACUCUUGAUGCUCCGCAGGCCUUCAGCCACAGGCACAUGGGAUUUCUCUUGCUCCUUCAUAGGUUUCUCAUCUUCCUUCUUCACUGGAGCUUCAUCUUGAAUUUGAACCUUCACCACAACAGGCGUUCCUGACGGGCUCGUCUCCGGCGCUCCCGAGCCACUUCCUCAUCAUCAUCGUGAGAGUUCAUCCUGUAGACACGGUGGGACACAGGCAUAUGUUGUAGAUGGUAGAGAGAAACCCAUAACAGGGGCCACAAUUCUGUUUCUCCAUCCCGAGACCAACAGCGGAAAUCCGAAACAAUCCGUUCCUCUCAGGGAGUUCCAUAUGAAAAAGGUCAUCCAAAAAGACAGUCAGAUGGAGUAUCUGCGAUUUUUCCUGGAAGAAUACAGUCUGUCUUCUGUAAGAAGUGUUGCUGGAUGAAUACAAUAGCUUUCAGACCUCCAGUGUGGCAGAUGAAAUGCAAAGAGAGAUGGAGGGAGAAAGCUCACACUCCUGACAGAUGCUGAAACAUAAUGGCUGAAUAUUGGAAUAAAAGCAGCAGUCAAAACAUUCCAAAGUCUGUGGAGUUUCCUUAACCUGCUGCAGAGAGAUUCAGCACGACAGGCCAGAUUCCCAUUGUACUGAAGACCAGGGCUGCAUUGCAUUUCUCAAAAGCUGGUGCCAAUGGCUUCUAAAAUCUGCUUAGGUUUACAAUGCUUUUGGGAAGCAUUAGCUAGUCAGAAAUACAUAGCUGUGCUAGUUUCAUGUAUUUCAUAUCACUCUGUGGUCUUUUUCAAAAAUUCAGCUUAAAUUAAUAUUUCUUUUACAUUUAGUUAUAAUGUACAGCCAGUCUGUCAUGAUAACUAAAUAAACUCCUUCAGGGUGACAAGAGACCCCUACUUCUUGGUUAUUUUGUUAUAAUAACAGGACA